CCAGAGAUGGCGGGCCCCCGCGCCCCCGUCCCCAACCCUUUGUUGACCAAACCACUUUUGCCUCGGGGGCAGAGCGGCCUCCGCCGCCCCCGGUGGACCAACCAACCCUGUCUCUGUACGUCGGAGUCUUUGAUGAAUAAAUGA
Molecule: unclassified non-coding RNA, 144 nt
Filed under: uncultured Ascomycota
Lineage: Eukaryota; Fungi; Ascomycota
Description: sequence contains ITS1
Source: RNAcentral